Chelonoidis abingdonii (Abingdon island giant tortoise) is the source of this 1504-nucleotide non-coding RNA. NCBI's taxonomy places the organism in Eukaryota, Metazoa, Chordata, Testudines, Testudinidae. The record is from RefSeq and is a predicted model, not a curated record.
CCUUCUCAGGCUCAGGUUGGCUACCCCUGGUCUAAAACAUGGAUCAGAAAUCAUGAAAUGUUUCUUUUGGGUUUUAUUGUAGCUUUUUGUUAACAAUAGUCCCAAAGACUUCCAGAAAAGAGACAAAUCCUCAUGCUUGAGGUCUUAUGUCAACAUCCAACUACUGGGGUUUCGAGGAAAUAUCCCUGCGGUCACAAUAUCCCAUAACUGCUUACUGUAGGCUCCAACCUUGCAAAGACUUAAAAGCAUGCUUAACUUUGAACAGACCCUUUGAAUCCAGUGGAACUACUCAAAAAGUUAUGUGCUUGAGUUUUGGCACAACUGAGAGAUAAGUGAGCAUAAGAAUAUACAAACCCUGUUGACAUUCCCAGGCAUUGGUAUUUUUCGCAUAUUUCACAUAUUCCAUAUAACCAGAGUUCUGGAAAUUUCAAAAUCACCCAAGUUAGGGAAUGCCAAGUCCACCAUAAUGGUUUAUUCCUCUCAACUAUUACCACUCUUCUAAUGGUGUUACAAAUACCUUUACUACCACUUGUAGCUAUUUGGUAUUAGCACACCUGUACUUAAUAUAUGUACAUUACAAUUUUCAGUUUUCCUUUAAAAAAAAAAUCUGUUUUCUCUCCAAAUAGGCAGAGAAAGGAGUCCCUGGAGGUGCUUGUUAAUCAGGAGCACAAUGACUGGGUGAGAAAGAAGAGUGCCCUUUUGGAAGCCUAAAAGGAAGAGAUUUGUUAUACCCAAGACAGGGAGUGUGAAGAGACAGAGACGAGUGGCCCUACUCACUUAAGGAUGGGAAGCUGUAAAAUGUACAGCGGAAGUAUAAUAAAUUAAUGCAUUGUAAAUUAGUGGCAUAGGAAAAUGUUUUUGCACAUGAAUGUCAACAUUGACAAUUGGAUGGAUUUUUACUUGUGUCUUGCAUCCAUUGAAAAUGAGAAGAACUCAAUGACAGCAGUACAUAAAACUGUAUAGAUAUGUUUCCUGAGGUCUCCAUUUUUCUUGUCUCCAGUCUGUAUUCCUUCAUCCCCUCCUCACUUAGAUAGCUGGAGUUUCUGCUUACUAGGCUGGGAAGUCUUCACUCAUAUAUCUUCUGCUUGUCAGUAGCAUUUCUCAGGCUGUAUUAUGCUGUUUCUUGAUUUCCUGGCAUGUUAGGACCACUGGCUGCUUUUGUGUUAGAGAGAUGGCACCUUCCCCAACAAACUGUCAUGACAGUUGUGACACCAACUUUCUAAAUAGGCAAGAAAGCAAACUGAUCAAAGUAAAGCUUUCUAGGAAUUGAAGUAAAUGGCUGACUGAAUAGUAAACAAUAGCUGGCAUCUAAACAAUGAACAUUGUGGAAGCUGAUCUUCUUUGCAAAAAAAUCUGCAGAAAAAAAUCAUACCAUGGACAAAGCAAAAUAUUCAACAAUUGGAAUUCCUGAAACUGUAAUCUCAUUCUGUUGGUUGACGUUUUUUAGAAUUAAUGAUUUCUUAUUACCAAGCAAAGUCAACACCAAAUAUAUGGGAAAAAAGAC